GAUGAACGCUGGCGGCGUGCCUAAUACAUGCAAGUCGAGCGAACAGACGAGGAGCUUGCUCCUCUGACGUUAGCGGCGGACGGGUGAGUAACACGUGGAUAACCUACCUAUAAGACUGGGAUAACUUCGGGAAACCGGAGCUAAUACCGGAUAAUAUAUUGAACCGCAUGGUUCAAUAGUGAAAGACGGUUUUGCUGUCACUUAUAGAUGGAUCCGCGCCGCAUUAGCUAGUUGGUAAGGUAACGGCUUACCAAGGCAACGAUGCGUAGCCGACCUGAGAGGGUGAUCGGCCACCCUGGAACUAGGACACGGUCCAGCCUCCUACGGGAGGCAGCAGUAGGAAAUCUUCCGCAAUGGGCGAAAGCUUGACGGGGCAACGCCGCGUGAGUGAUGAAGGUCUUCGGAUCGUAAAACUCUGUUAUUAGGGAAGAACAAAUGUGUAAGUAACUAUGCACGUCUUGACGGUACCUAAUCAGAAAGCACGGCUAACUACGUG
This 496-nucleotide ribosomal RNA is filed under the name uncultured bacterium. RNAcentral describes it as "partial 16S ribosomal RNA". It matches the Rfam family "Bacterial small subunit ribosomal RNA", at positions 28 to 507 of the family's 1533-position model. The record is from RNAcentral.